GAGUAACAUUGCUGGAACCAUAUCAGCGGAUGGUUGGUUUUUCGUGCAAGGGCAAGAUAUGAUUGCUAAUUUCUGCAGCCUUUUAUCAUUCUCUUUAUUAUUGUAGCAUUUUUGCAAAUAGCUUUUUUCAAGUCCUCAAAAGCAUCUUUUUCACUUGCGUCAAGGGAUUUUCUUGUCAAUAUUUGGUAGGACUCUCGAUAUUUAUGGUGAGAUCAGGAUAAAGGCAUUUGCAACUUGGGGACUCAAUAAGGUUUUGUCCCUGGGCUUUGGCACAUCUUGAGGGAGGAGUGUACUUCUAUCCUUUAUAAGGCAGAGUUAUCAAUGCACGAUUUUGUCCCUAGGCUUUAACCCAAAAGGCAUCUUUU
Molecule: long non-coding RNA, 365 nt
Filed under: Elaeis guineensis (African oil palm)
Lineage: Eukaryota; Viridiplantae; Streptophyta; Magnoliopsida; Arecales; Arecaceae
Description: long non-coding RNA (EGUI_LNC015318)
Source: RNAcentral